Balaenoptera acutorostrata (minke whale) is the source of this 838-nucleotide long non-coding RNA. RefSeq lists it as uncharacterized. The record is from RefSeq and is a predicted model, not a curated record. The transcript is spliced from 4 exons. NCBI's taxonomy places the organism in Eukaryota, Metazoa, Chordata, Mammalia, Artiodactyla, Balaenopteridae.
AAUCAAACUAUGUCAUCUAAAAAAGGGUUAAGUUAGAACAGGUGAAAUAGAUCCCUGAGCUAGCAAUGAUUUCUUUCUGAUAGUCCCAGAUUGCUGAUGGGCUAGAAACAAAAUUUUGGGAGUCAGAAUUUUAAAAUGGCACUUAAAGCUUUAAGAUUAAAUGUAAUCUCUAGGGAAGAAGAGCAGAGCACCUAGGACCAAGUUUUAAGAGAAAUUGGGAGCAUUUAAUAUCUAUGUAGAGGAAUUGCCAUUGCAAAGGAGACUGAGAAGUAACCAAGGUAGCAUGGAAGUCAAGAGAACAUUUCGAAAAGGAGGGGGAGUGCUCAGUGUCAACUUUUACACAGGAAGUGAGCGGCCAUGUUGUGAGGACAUGCAAGCAGUCUAUGGAGAGGUCCAGGCAUGAGAAACUAAGGACUCCAGCCAACAGCCAGCAUUAACCUGCCAACCAAGUGAGGAGCCACCUUGGGAUCAGGUCUCCAGCAGCCCCAGUCAUGACAGAGCCUAAGCCAGAACCACCCAGCUAAGCUGCUUCCAAAUUCCUGACCCACUGAAACGGUGACAAGUGAGGCAGAGCUGAAUGGGAAACUACUUGUGGAUGAAAAUGAAUCUCAGAUUACAGUCAUGUAGAACAAGGCUCCUGCUGGCCCAUAGCUUCACAGAACUCAGCAGCCCCUGCUCUGGGCAACAGGACGGAUCUACACAGGUGUGGCUGGACUACACAGAAAUCCCGGAGUGUGACCUCCAAUGUCUUGAAUUCCUGCUUCCAGUUGAAGAACAAAGACACAGCCCUGCUGGGAAUGUAGGUUCCUGAGGACUCCUGCAUGUGGAUCCUGCUUGC